Molecule: long non-coding RNA, 6736 nt
Organism: Antechinus flavipes (yellow-footed antechinus)
Lineage: Eukaryota; Metazoa; Chordata; Mammalia; Dasyuromorphia; Dasyuridae
Exons: 2
Source: RefSeq, a predicted model, not a curated record
CAUGUAUAAUAAAAACAUAUAGAAAAGAAAUGCGAAGAAAUUUGAGGAUCGAAGAUCACUGGACAGUUGAGGGAAUUAGGCUUUGGUAAAAGUGACACUUAAGUUGAGAUUUUGAGGAAGGAAAUAAAAAGUGCAAAGGGCAGGAAUGGGAGCUGGAAAGUCUCUUACAGAAAACAGCAAGUAACAUGAUUUGGCUGUAACGUAGGAGACUUAAAGACAACCCACAAAGCAGAUUGUGAAGGACUUGAAAUGCCAAGCAGGGAGUUUGUAUUUCAUUCUACAGGCAAUAGGACUCCACCACAGCUUUUUAAAGAAAGAAAAUUUCCAUAGUUAGCUCUGUUCUUUGAAAUCAUUCAUUAGGCAGUUCUGUAGAAAGCAGUUUUGAGAAGAGUGAGACUGCAUGCAAGAAGUCCAAUGAAGAAGCUACUGCAGUAAUCCAGAAGAUCAAAACAGGGCUAAUACAAAUGAUUGCAGUUGAACAUCAUGGAACUCCCCUGCUGUGCCAGACCAAGUUCCUGGAGCCUGUUCUUAAUGAUAGACAAGCUGUUCCUCAUCCACACAACUGCAGGGCACUGAGCCAUCCAAAAGUUGCAUGAACGUCCUAUGGAGAGGAGCUACCUUAGCAGCAUCCCAGACUGAAACUCACUUUCUAUGGAUGAAGAUAACUAUAGGUGUUGUGAGAUGGAACUGAAUGUCAUCAGCGAGACACCAUGUCCAGCUAUUGCAUUGAAAACAGAAAGAAAGAAAAAGUCACUUCUUUCUCACACUUUUCAGCAAAAAUAAACUUCCUAAAAGUGCAGCUUUUCUGAACUGCUCUGGCCAUGAGAAGGAGGUGCUAACGGGGCAUGUUUGGACAGCUGCUGAACACUUCUGUGGGCAAGUUGUCUCCAGUGGGGCUGAAAGGAUGUUUGGGCAGCUGGUGGGUCAUUCUGUGGGCAAGUUUUUCCCUUUGAGAGAGUAGGGGGAAUAUGUGUAGCCAUGUUCAGAGCUAAAUCUGACUGGGAUUCUGCUAAAGAGACAGCUUAGGGGAGAGACAAUAAGCAACUUUUCCCUCAAAACAGUCCUGCAGCCCACUCUCUAUGUACCUUGUGGUUUUCCCUGGCUCAACUCACAUAGUAUAAUAAUUCCUGUUCCUUGCUUAAUAAAUCCCGGGCAGACAUCCUCCCGCUUUUAAACUUUCAAUAUCAAUGGGGUCCCCCAUUAUCUCAAGUAGGGACAAGUUCAGUUGCAGGGGGAAAAAAAUCUCCUCUGGUGGGAUCAAUAUACAUGUCUUAACUGUUUGGAAAAUAAGUAUACAAAUUCCUAAUACUUGAAAAAUAUGUAUAUGUAUCCCUGAUGGUACUUAUAAUCUAGUGUUUGAUUAGAGAAUGAAAAAAAAUGCUCUCUGGAUUCAUAUUAUGCCAUCUUCUGCAAGAGAGUAGAUGUGGAUAGCAUUGGGUAGCCUGACACCAUCACCACAAUCUCCAUCACUACCAGUACUAUCACUACCACUAAUGCUACCAUUACUCCCAGCUAAAUUUGCUCUAGAUAUAAAUAUUUCUAAACAUUGUUUUGGCUAUUCAGCCACUAUUUGGUAUCAGAAGAUGAGCAGAAACUCAUGUUCAUCCUAAAAUGCACAGGAAAAAUGAGUCAUAAAAAAGCGAGAAGAUAAGACAUUCAUUCAUUACUCACUCAAAAAAUUGUAAUAAACACUAACUGCAAGCAUGGAAUAUCACUGUGGUGAUCCUUUAAUGUCCUAGAUGUGGUACAAUCAUCACAGUAUCACCUACUCAUAGGAGCAUCCAGAGAACUUCUCCAUUUAUAGGGAUUCCCUCUUCCAUUUGGAGAUUGCACAUUUUUCAUGAAUAGGCAAACACCUUUGUUGAAUAUUCAUUUUUUUGUGCUUCACUUGGCAAUAAGGGGGUCACUGAGCAGAAGAAUAUUUGGAGAUUGUGAUCAUUACAAUUCAUUUGUUCCUCCUAAUUCCCUUAUAGUUAGCAAAUUCCCACCAUCUGUUACUCUCUUUAUUCUCAUAUUACUUAAUCAUCUCCUUGUAUAGGAGUAAACCAAGUGCCAGCUUAUUACAAUUACAAUUUUAUCCCCAAGUUCCACAUCAACUUUGUCUACCUUUUCCACUGCGCCCUCUGAAAUUCCAAUGCCAUAUUGAACAAACUUGCCUUCAUUGUGCAUCUCUUCCUUCCCUGCUCCUUCUUCAUUCUGGAACUCAUAAAGCUCUAAGUCCCUCUCGAUGACACUGCCUCCCUAGUAAUCCUAUAUAUGUUCUUGAUACCAUUCUCUUCAAUCUUUGUCAUCUAACUCCUCCCUUCAAUCAUUCCCUUCCUUUCUCUAAUCUUCACUUUCUGUCUUUGCACUUUUUCCUUCCUUUGCACAAGCAUAGCCAACUGUCUGUGGCUUUAUAAAAAAUUCUCUAACCCUACCACUCUCUUGAGUUUUUAAUCCUACAUUUUUUCUCCUCUUCUUAGCCAAAUUUCUAGAAAAAAUAAACUGCAGCCACCAUUUCCACUUACUCUUCUUUCCUAGUCGUUCUUCAAUCUCUUGCAAUCUGGCUUUCAAACACAUCAUUCAACUGAAACUAUUUCUCCAAAGUUUCCAACAAUGUCUUAAUUGUCAAACCAGAUGGUCUCUUCUCAUUUCUAUCCUUCUUGACUUCUGCUGAAUAUUACAAUAUUGAUGACUCUUCUCCUCCUUCUCUCCUCUCUGGUGUUUAAUGACACAUUACUUUUUCCUGGUUCCCAUUCUAACUGCAAUAAAGAACUAUUUCUUCUCAGUUUCUUUUGCUGGACCAGCAUCCAUAUAAAAUUCCCUAAAUGUGGGUGUUUUUCCAGUGCUCUAGCUUUGCCCUUCCUUCCCUUUACAUACUUUCUCUUAUGGUAACCUUAUCAGCUCCUGUGUGUUUAAUUUAUUAUCAUCUAUAAGCAAAAACUCACAGAUUUCUAUAACCAAUCCCAAAUUCUUUACUGAUCUUCAGUUUUGAAUGACAUUUCAAAGUAGAUGCCCCAGAGAAACUUCAUAUUCAAUGUGUAUAAGUAGAAUUUAUUACCUUUCUCCUACAGCCUAUCUAUCUUCCAACAAUCCCUAUUUAUGUGAAGGGGCCUCCAUUUUUCUAAUCUCCUAAGAUUGUAAGCUUGACUCCUCACAAAGUUACAUCCCAUAUCCAAUUGGAUGGAAAAUUUUGCCAUUUCUACUCACACAAUAUUUUUUGUAUCUGAUGCCUUUUCUUUACUUACAGCACCAUGCUGUUUUGGGCCCUCUUCAUAUUUCAUCUAAACUAAGUAACGCAAUGUUUUCUUAAUUGGUCUAUAUCAAGCCUUUCAUUAUUCUUUUUGCUGCAAUCCAUCUUUCACACUAUUGCAAAAGUGAUUUUUCUUAAGUACAGAUCUGAGCAUUUCAUACUGCUACUCAAAAUAUGCCAGUGGUCACCUUUGGCCUGUAGGAUAAGAUGUUUGGAUUUUAAAUCCCUUCUCAAUUUGACCUCAAUCUGUCUUUCCAGACUGAUUACAUAUAAAUUCCUUUUCCCCUUAACCCUACAAACCAUCCUAACACCCACACUCUGUUACUGAUGCAUGAUACUCCAUCUUUCAUUUGCAGGUCUUUGCAUAGGGAGUCUAGCUAUCUCCCAUACAUAAAACGAACUUAUUCCUGACCACCAAUGUAAUUUUUACACAAAAAUAUAAAAACUUCCUAGCUUAAUUUAUAUUUUAGUGCAUAUAAAUUACCCAACAAUCAUAAGAUAGAGUUAAAAAUAAUAAUAAAAUUCAUCUGGAGGAGCAAAGGUCAAGACUCUUAAAGGGAAAUGAUGAAAAAACAUAGUAAGGUGAUGGACUUGGUUCUUUUCAACAAUGAGGAGAUUCAGACCAAUUCUAAUACAUUCUGAUGGAGAGAGUUAUCUGCAUCCAGAGAGAGGAGUUUGGUUAUUGAAUGUGGAUCACAACAGUAUUUUCACCUUUUUUGAGGUUGUUAUUGUUGCUUGUUUGUUUUUUUCUCAUUUUUUCACUUUUGAUUUGAUUUUUCUUGUGCAGCAUGAUAAACAUAUAUUUAUAUGGAAAUAUAUUUAGAAGAAACACAUGUUUAAACCUAUCUAUAUUAGAUUACUUGCUGUCUAAGGGAGAAAGAAAGUGAGGAGGGCGGGAGAAAAAUUUGGAACACAAAGCUUUGCAUGGGUGAAUGCUAAACACUAUCUUUGAAUGUAUUUUAAAAAUAAAAAAAGUUAUUAUGAAAAUAAAUAAAUACAUUAAAACAAAUAAAAGAAAGAAAAACAUAGUAAGAACAAGAGUCUAGUAAUACCAGUCUCAAACUAUAUAAGGUAACAAUCAUUAAAAUUAUUAAGUAAUGACCAAAAAAAUAGAAAAGUUGAUCAAUGGAACAGAUCAGUAACACAAUACACAAAGGCCAACAAAAACAAUGGCAUAGAGUUUGAUAAAACCACAAACCACAACUCCUGAAACAAAUGUCUCACUCUUCAACAAAAACUGCUGAGAAAAUAGGAAAGAAGUCUGGUAGAAAUUUAGACCAACUUUUCAUACCAUAUAUCAAGAUAAGUGCAAGAUGGACACAAAACUUAGAUAUAGAAAAUCACAUUAUGAACAAAUAAGAAGCAAAGAAAAAUUAUCUAUCAUAUCUAUGGAUAAGGAAAGAGUGCCUAACAGGAAGAACAGAGAAAAAUCACAUCAGAAAAUAGACAAUUUUUAUUGCAUAAAAUUAAAAGUUUUGUAGAAACAAAAUCAAUGUAGUUAAAAUAAGAAAGGAAACACUAGGGAAAUAUUUUUGCAGCAAGUUUUUCUGAUAAUCUGAUGUGUAAAAUCUGAUUCAAUUAUAUAACAAGAGCUAUUCCCUAACAAACAAAUAGACAAAUAAUAUGUACAAGUAAUUCUCAGAGGAAUAAACCCAACCUAUCAACAAACAUAUGAAAAAAAUACUUCAAAUUAACAAUAAUUAGAGAUAGAAAUUGAAACAAUACUUAGAAUCAGCCGCAAGUCCCUCAGAUUAGCAAAAAUGAUAAUCAUGGUGAUAAUGACAAUGACAAUGACUAUGGUCAUUGUAUUGAUCAUAGUUUUAAAGUCUUUAUUUUUCUUUAUAGUAUAAUUGUUCUUGUAUUACUCUCUAGGUUGUGUUUACUUUAUUCUACAUUAGCUCAAGUUUUCCCAGGUUUCCCUGAAAUUGUUUUUUCUUACACCUUUUAAAAUUUUUUAUUUUAAAGUUCCAAAUUUUCUCCUUCUCUUCAUCCUUUUCCUAUUCAUUGAGAAGGUAAUAUAUACAGUACCCAUUAUACAUAUACAUUUCAUCAAUUCUUAAGAGCUAUUAAUAUUUAUUAGAUUUACAUACCAUAAUUUAUUUGGGCAUUUCUCAAUUGAUUGCUACAAUAAAAAGUACUUCUUUAGAUACUUUUUAUGUAUGGGUUCUUUUUCUAUUUUCUUAUUUUUUUGGGGGGUAUAGGUCUAAUGGUGAUAUAUGUGUGUCAAAACUUAUGCAUAUUUUAGCAACUUUUGGGAACAGUUUUCAAAGUGGCUGCACCAAUUUACAGUUCCAGUAACAAUGCAUUAAUGUAACUGUUUUCCUGCAAUAUUAAAUUAAAAGUCAAAUUAACAUAUAAUAUAUAAUUAGUUGCAAAACUAAAAGUUUUCUAUAAAUGCCAUUAUUAUUAUUAUUACAUACAAUUAUAAAAGGCCCUAAGAUUUUUGCCUUCUCUACUUAGUUUUUUUUCUGCCUAAUUCAAUUCUUACUCUGGUCUUUGUGUUGGUUUGAUUCUAGUUCAGAACCAUGGAAUCAGAUAAUCAACACUACCUUUCAAAGUCCACCAGAAGCUGCUGUUUUAGCCAUCACUGUUGCAUGCAAGAGUUUGAGGCAUUCCUUCCCAGGGUCUCUUCUACAACACUACGAGACAGUUAAUCUGUGAACUUCUUCUCUGGCUCAAUAGUCAUGGCUGGAGAAAGGCUGUCUUAUAUCUUCCAACAAAGUUGAAGGUGUUUUCCUUACUUGGACUCCCAAAAUGUCUUUCUCCAUUCAAGCCUACCUGAAUGAAAACCACUGUUUUUCAAUUUUCUUUUGCCAUCUUUCAUUUCAUUAAAGAUGUAUCUUAGAUCAUAAUCUCUUCUGGACUAUUAUAUCAGCCUUUUAACCCACCGUCCUGUCUUCAAUGUCUCUUCUCUCCAAUUCCUCUUUCAUACAGAACAAUAUUUCUAAAACACAGUUUGGACACAUCACUUCUUUGUUCAAUUAACUGCUGUGGCUCUGUUGUUCCUGGGAUCUUUUACAAAUUUCUCUCUUUACCAUUUAAAGCUCUUGACAAGUUGAAUUCAACCUACCUUUCUUGCCCCCUUCAUUCAUCCCAGUCCAAACUAACUUUUAUAUUGUUCCUCAUGAAUAAUAUUCCAUAAUCCGCUACACCUUUGCAUUGGCUAUCCCUUAUGUCUGGAAUGAAUCCCCUCCUCACCUCUACCUCCUAAAAUCCCAAGUUCCCUUCAAACCUCAACUUAAACACUAUCUCCUUCCUAUAUGGGAUCUUUCCUUAUUUCAUAUAUCUGACUAAAAUUACUGUGUAUGUAUAAAUUUCUUUUAAAUGUGUGUGUGUGUAACCUAUUCAACAUGUAAAGGACUGCUUGCCAUCUGGGGGAGAGAGUGGAGGGAAGGAGGGGAAAAAUCGGAACAGAAGUGAGUGCAAGGGAUAAUGCUGUAAAAAAUUACCCUGGCAUGGGUUCUGUCAAUAAAAGUUAUUAAAAAUAAAAAAUAAAAAAAAAUA